Molecule: long non-coding RNA, 509 nt
Organism: Papaver somniferum (opium poppy)
Lineage: Eukaryota; Viridiplantae; Streptophyta; Magnoliopsida; Ranunculales; Papaveraceae
Exons: 2
Source: RefSeq, a predicted model, not a curated record
UCCCCCUUUCUAUUCUUCACCUCUACGAGAGCAGGAAGAAAUUUGUAUUACUUUCAUAUCUGACUGCCGGCGAAACCCACCCUUGAUUUGGCUAGAAGUUGGUAUUGCAGCACAGAGUACGAGCGGAGCUUGCAGCAGUAGCCGGAUAGAGCUUACAGCAGGCUAUAUAACGCGUCGAAAGUUAGUAUUUUGCUGUCUAUAAUGUGUAUAUCACAGGGAUAAAUUUGCGGUAGUUCUAAUAUCGACUUUCAGCCCAUGUUUUUGUCGUAUUUUGAUGUGUACAUGAAGGGAAAUGCUAAAGUUUUAUUUUGAUGUACCCUUUCUGAACUUAGGCCUAGAUAUAUACUUUAUCGUCUGUAGCUAUUUCUACUUAUGAACUUUUCUUACAUGUUCAACUGUUUUUGCGUGGUGGUAUUGUUUUGAAAUGAUAUGUUGUGUGCCAGUCUGCUGGACUUAACUAAACUAAUAUCUUAGAACUUGUGAAUGAAACAAAUGCAUGUCUCUCACUA